This 483-nucleotide ribosomal RNA is filed under the name uncultured bacterium. Its description in RNAcentral is "partial 16S ribosomal RNA". It matches the Rfam family "Bacterial small subunit ribosomal RNA", at positions 30 to 507 of the family's 1533-position model. The record is from RNAcentral.
AUUGAACGCUGGCGGCAUGCCUUACACAUGCAAGUCGAACGGCAGCACGGGAGCAAUCCUGGUGGCGAGUGGCGAACGGGUGAGUAAUACAUCGGAACGUGCCCAAUCGUGGGGGAUAACGCAGCGAAAGCUGUGCUAAUACCGCAUACGAUCUACGGAUGAAAGCAGGGGACCGCAAGGCCUUGCGCGAAUGGAGCGGCCGAUGGCAGAUUAGGUAGUUGGUGGGGUAAAGGCUCACCAAGCCAACGAUCUGUAGCUGGUCUGAGAGGACGACCAGCCACACUGGGACUGAGACACGGCCCAGACUCCUACGGAGGCAGCAGUGGGGAAUUUUGGACAAUGGGCGCAAGCCUGAUCCAGCCAUGCCGCGUGCAGGAUGAAGGCCUUCGGGUUGUAAACUGCUUUUGUACGGAACGAAACGGCCCUUUCUAAUAAAGAGGGCUAAUGACGGUACCGUAAGAAUAAGCACCGGCUAACUACGUG